CAGUAGCCACGGUAAUACGAAGGGUGCAAGCGUUAAUCGGAAUUACUGGGCGUAAAGGGUGCGUAGGCGGUUGUUUAAGUCUGUUGUGAAAUCCCCGGGCUCAACCUGGGAAUGGCAAUGGAAACUGGACGGCUAGAGUGUGUCAGAGGAUGGUGGAAUUCCCGGUGUAGCGGUGAAAUGCGUAGAGAUCUGGAGGAGUACCGGUGGCGAAGGCGGCCCCCUGGACAAAGACUGACGCUCAGGUGCGAAAGCGUGGGGAGCAAACAGGAUUAGAUACCCCCGUAGUCCCUGUCUCUUAUAC
Molecule: ribosomal RNA, 301 nt
Filed under: uncultured bacterium
Lineage: Bacteria
Description: partial 16S ribosomal RNA
Rfam family: Bacterial small subunit ribosomal RNA
Source: RNAcentral